Long non-coding RNA from Oryzias melastigma (Indian medaka), 684 nucleotides. RefSeq lists it as uncharacterized. Lineage: Eukaryota; Metazoa; Chordata; Actinopteri; Beloniformes; Adrianichthyidae. The transcript is spliced from 2 exons. The record is from RefSeq and is a predicted model, not a curated record.
CUCUAAACUUUUGGUGUGAUUUUAUUGUUCUUUCAUUUUCUUUGCACUCCAGUGUUGUGAGCUGAUAGACCGAUGUGACACCGAAGCCCAACAGUGACAAAGACCUUCAAAAGAAGAUGAAAAGUAAACUCAACAUUCACAAGGAGAAGCCUGGAAGAACGAACAUGCACCUGUUCCUGCAGAGAUGGACCCCAAUGAAUCCCAAGAGUCAAGAUGGUGGCCGUAAUGCUCAGGAACUCUGGUUGAUUGUACAUGGGCAUUACUCAGCCACCAAAGCCUCCAUGCUGCAGAAGAUGAGUGCAUACAGAAGGAAGAGAGGAAGAGGAGGGUCCAACCAGGGAGCUGUGGCGAGGAGGAAACCAUGCAGACUUACGCAGUCCGUGUCCUUCAAACAUUUCAUAGGCUGUGUAAAACAUCUGAGUCUGUGAGACCUCUGCAGACGAAGGGAGGAAGGGAGGGGUACAGGUAAACUGACAGGCGGGACUUUUGGUUGAAACAGCAGUUUACCGUUACCACCCUCAGAGACCACACAGUCCAUCGUCCUCUGCGAAGACUGGCAUGGUUUUACACCACGUUACUCAUAAAACCACCACAAACACAAUGAGAAUGUCCAGAACAAAAGACAAACUGAAGGUUUACAUGCAGCUUAGAAAAAAAAGACGGAUUUCUUCUUAACAAAAAAAA